GAUGAACGCCGGCGGCGUGCCUAAUACAUGCAAGUCGAGCGAACAGACGAGGAGCUUGCUCCUCUGACGUUAGCGGCGGACGGGUGAGUAACACGUGGAUAACCUACCUAUAAGACUGGGAUAACUUCGGGAAACCGGAGCUAAUACCGGAUAAUAUAUUGAACCGCAUGGUUCAAUAGUGAAAGACGGUUUUGCUGUCACUUAUAGAUGGAUCCGCGCCGCAUUAGCUAGUUGGUAAGGUAACGGCUUACCAAGGCAACGAUGCGUAGCCGACCUGAGAGGGUGAUCGGCCACACUGGAACUGAGACACGGUCCAGACUCCUACGGGAGGCAGCAGUAGGGAAUCUUCCGCAAUGGGCGAAAGCUUGACGGAGCAACGCCGCGUGAGUGAUGAAGGUCUUCGGAUCGUAAAACUCUGUUAUUAGGGAAGAACACAUGUGUAAGUAACUAUGCACGUCUUGACGGUACCUAAUCAGAAAGCCACGGCUAGCUACGUG
RNAcentral lists this ribosomal RNA (497 nucleotides) under uncultured bacterium. Its description in RNAcentral is "partial 16S ribosomal RNA". It matches the Rfam family "Bacterial small subunit ribosomal RNA", at positions 28 to 507 of the family's 1533-position model. The record is from RNAcentral.